UCCCUAUCAUUAAAAUAACUUACUUUAUAUAAACAUAUUUAACUACCCAAUUAAUUUCAAACCACAUUUUUUUUUUUGUAAUUAUCUCACGAGAAUUCACACUUGAAUUAUUGGAUUAUUUCCUAACCCAAAGUACAUAUUGUUCCUUAACUCUCAAAGUGACUCAAACCACCAACACCAUCACUAGUUUCCUCUCUCCUUCUCAUUUCUCACAAACACUUCCCUUCCCACCACCAAUUUUCUCUCUCCUCCCUCCCACCACAACUUCUCAUCUCCUUCAAUUUUCACAACAGAAAAGGUGAAGAAUUAUUUCACCACCUCACACAAGUCGACGUCGCGCAGCCACCAUUCGAAAGCUGCACCAUCAUCUCUGUUGCCCUCUUGAUAAACCGCGCCAUCAGCACACACCUCCAAUUGGACCAUGCUAAUCUAUCUUAUCAGAUGUCUCCGAAGAUAUGGGUCUACUUUUGAAAGUUCUAGUUUUCCAGGUUUGAUAGCUUGAUUGUCAAUUUUCCAUGUAUUUGUUAUCUCAAUCUUUCGGAAAUUAUUGUCAAUAAGAUAGUGUAAGUAAGUCAAAAAUAGUAUAAUAAUGAAAUCUAACAAAAUCACAACUAACUUUUUUACUUAGGUGGUAUCAUCUGUUUUAGUUUGAUAUUCCCUUAUGUAGUAAGUUUAUACUUGUUGCACAUGGAGGCUUUUAUAUUCCUUUAUUGAUAUGAUUGAAGUGAGGAGGGUAGGUAUUAUGGGACUUUGCUUUACCUUACUUCAGUAUCUUUGGUCUUGAGUAUUUGUUUUGAAAUGUCGCAUGUAUUAGAAAUUAUUUGGGUUGCUGUUAUGAUUUUGGCAAGACUUGAUCUGGAGGUAUAUAUUAGGCAGUAUGAUUCGCCCCACCGUCGCACAAACCACCUUGGUACUUUAAUAUAAGGAAGCAAGGAAAAUAAAUCACCAGUAGAGCAAAUAGUGAUUUACUUUCUUUCUUAAUUUAAACAUGAUCAAGAUCACUUUGAGUUAGCUGAAUGGUAAUCUUAAUUACAGUAGUUGUUUUUCUGUGCCCAAUUCUCUGUAGUAAAUUGAAUUUCAUUUAUCCUUUCCAUUAUCUGUUUGUUGGCAGCUCAAAAUUAUGCUUUCAUUGUGGUGGAGCCUUAUUGCUCUUUUGUACUUUGCCUUCCCUAUCCCUUUUCUCAUUAGCGAUCCGCAAACACUGAUCGCACUGAAAUCUUAAGUAGGUGAAGUAGUUGUAACUUUUUUCAAAAGCAACACACAAAUAGUUGAAUACUAGUUCUAGCUCAAAUGACACUAUCAAUGUAUGAUCCAAUAGUUCAAAUUACACUAUUAGGUAUGCGAUUGCUUAUAUAGUUACUUGACUUGCUUAAGUAACUCUGAUUCUGUUUGUUGGAGUAUGGAUGUUGUGUAUCAGAUUUUAUAGUGAAGUGUCACUCUCUUGCAAACUGUGAUUGAUUUCAGGUAUCAAUUAUUCAUGGAAUCUGAGAUCUUUAAUACGGAGUAUGUCAAUUUUAGCUUUUUUUUUUAUCCAUUUGCCUUGCACUCCUUAGAAAUUAGAAUAGGCAACUUGACAUAGCUGAGCUGCAAUCUACUAGUCAAAUUUGAAUGUGUUUUUUUUAUUCUGGUGCUCUGAAAAUGGCCUUUAUAACAGGGUUGUGUUUCUAUUCUUAACAACAGAGGUUAUUUUAUUUUGUUGCAAUAUUAAUGGUGGAUGCUCGACAACUUCGAUAUGCACAAGCAAACCCUAGAAAGAAGUGGUAUAUAUGGAGUUAUUUAGUAAUUGAUUUACUUCCUUUUUAGGCCGUUUUGAAAUAGUUAUAAAAUGGUUCCAGGGUUUUCUACUCACUCAAUUCUACUAUGAUGACUGAUGAGAUGCAGGGAAACAAAUUUACACAUCAUAUAUCCCUCUAACUAGGGUCUACUCAGUCACUUGAGGUUUUUAUCAGGCUUCCUACGGGUUAUGUUACCGCCCUCCUAUUGCCGAUAGUGCUGUCCAUGCUACUUCACAUUCUGCUCUAUUGGGUUGCUGCUGCUCAUACAUUUUGCCUUGCUAGAGAAUCUGUUGUUGUUGCUAGUUUGGCUCUGCUGGAUCUACUACUCGUUGAUGUGAUUCCUUUUUCUUUUUUAAUUUUUUUAUUGCCAGUGUAAAGUUACAAGUUAUUUUAGGUAUACUAUAGUUUCUUUGUAUGGAACCAUGAUAUUAUAUCAAUUCAAAUUAUUAUCUAUCAUAUUUGUUGAUUUCACAUA
This is a long non-coding RNA of Chenopodium quinoa (quinoa), 2250 nucleotides long. RefSeq lists it as uncharacterized. The record is from RefSeq and is a predicted model, not a curated record. The transcript has 2 exons. Lineage: Eukaryota; Viridiplantae; Streptophyta; Magnoliopsida; Caryophyllales; Amaranthaceae.